UACGAAGGGGGCAAGCGUUGUUCGGAAUUACUGGGCGUAAAGGGCGCGCAGGCGGCCGAUCAAGUCAGAUGUGAAAGCCCCGGGCUCAACCUGGGAAUAGCAUUUGGGACUGGUCGGCUAGAGUUCGGGAGAGGAGAGUGGAAUUCCCAGUGUAGAGGUGAAAUUCGUAGAUAUUGGGAAGAACACCGGUGGCGAAGGCGGCUCUCUGGACCGGUACUGACGCUGAGGUGCGAAAAGCGUGGGGAGCAAACAGG
This 254-nucleotide ribosomal RNA is filed under the name uncultured bacterium. Its description in RNAcentral is "partial 16S ribosomal RNA". It matches the Rfam family "Bacterial small subunit ribosomal RNA", at positions 524 to 776 of the family's 1533-position model. The record is from RNAcentral.